Molecule: long non-coding RNA, 1180 nt
Filed under: Marmota monax (woodchuck)
Lineage: Eukaryota; Metazoa; Chordata; Mammalia; Rodentia; Sciuridae
Source: RNAcentral
GAGAAUUUUAAUAUUUAUUUUUUAGUUUUCAGCGGACACAACAUCUUUGUUUGUAUGUGGUGCUGAGGAACGAACCUGGGCCACACGCAUGCCAGGCGAGCACGCUACCGCUUGAGCCACAUCCCCAGCUCCAGAAAGUAAUUUCAAGAAGGGUACAGAGACAAGCAAAGCUGACCAGACGGGUCCGGCUUCUAACAAAGAAAGGAGCCUAUGUUUGCUUUAUUUUUAACAGAAGACAUCAAAGAAAUUCUAUGGAAAGUUCUUCACCAAAACAGGAUAGAGAUGGGGGCAGGUAGGCUGCUCCAUUCCUAGCAGAGUCAUGCCCAUCUCCAGUGCUGCGUGGGACCUUCUGGCAGAGCAGAGGGGAAGUUCACUUGCAUCAGGCAGUCUAUCCUGGUGGCACUGCCACAAGAAGUUCCCAGUGCCAGUCUACCCACUCCUUGGCUACGAUGCUGAAAAGGUCCUCAUGUAUUUCACAGAUGGCUUCCCGCAUAUUCCCUCUUUUUACUUUGUAAAUGUAAAUGAUGAGCUGUUAGUUCAAGCUCCCACAUUUUUGUUCUAAGGGUACGACAACCUAUUGAUACAAAAGAGAAUUAGUAGCAAACAUAUCAUACCAAUAACAUACCAUACAGAAUGUUUCAGCGUAUUUCCAGGAUUAAAGCCAUUCAAUUCUUGAAGUAUUUGGUCAGCUAGAAGGUAGGGUUCGUAAGAUUGAUUUUGCUUUUUUAAAUAUCCUGGAUGUGACAAUGUAACUCCAUGGAUCCAGGCUACUAUUAUUGCUAUGCCAAAUACCCAUUAGAUGAUUUUUAACCUUUCCAUAAUCCCAUUGGGAAGUAUUAUAUUUGGCCACAAUAAUAAGAGACAUAUUUAUAGUCAGCGUGGCAUUUAAGCCUUUUCUUAAAGCAGAAAGCUCAUUACCAAUAUUUAUGACAGUAGCUUCCAAGGCAUUCAAAUUAGUUUCAAUCUUUUCAUCAAUAUUUAUCUGAUUGGGGCUGGGGUUGUAGAUCAGCAGUAGAGUACUCUUGCCUAGCACGUGUGAGGCCCUGGGUUCAAUCCUCAGCAUCACAUAAAAAUACAUUAAAAAAAAAAAAAAAGGUACAAUACCUUUUUGUCCAACUACAACUAAAAAAUAAAUAUUAACAAAAUUUAUCUGAUUAUGGAGGGCUUUGGGAGUAUUUUG